Molecule: ribosomal RNA, 377 nt
Filed under: uncultured bacterium
Lineage: Bacteria
Description: bacterial SSU rRNA
Rfam family: Bacterial small subunit ribosomal RNA
Source: RNAcentral
UAAGACGAACCGGACAAACGUUAUUCGGAAUUACUGGGCUUAAAGAGUACGUAGGCGGUCUUGUAGGUUGGGUGUGAAAUCCCACAGCUCAACUGUGGAACUGCGCUCAAAACCCCAAGACUUGAGGGAGACAGAGGUAAGCGGAACUGAUGGUGGAGCGGUGAAAUGCGUUGAUAUCAUCAGGAACACCAGUGGCGAAGGCGGCUUACUGGGUCUCUUCUGACGCUGAGGUACGAAAGCUAGGGUAGCGAACGGGAUUAGAUACCCCGGUAGUCCUAGCUGUAAACGAUGAGCACUUGUUCGAGGGGACUUCCACAUCCUCUCGGACGUAGCGAAAGUGUUAAGUGCUCCGCCUGGGGAGUAUGGUCGCAAGGCUG